AUUGAACGCUGGCGGCAGGCUUAACACAUGCAAGUCGAGCGGAGCGAGGGUGCUUGCACCUUAGCUUAGCGGCGGACGGGUGAGUAAUGCUUAGGAAUCUGCCUAUUAGUGGGGGACAACAUUCCGAAAGGGAUGCUAAUACCGCAUACGCCCUACGGGGGAAAGCAGGGGAUCUUCGGACCUUGCGCUAAUAGAUGAGCCUAAGUCGGAUUAGCUAGUUGGUGGGGUAAAGGCCUACCAAGGCGACGAUCUGUGGCGGGCCUGAGAGGAUGAUCCGCCACACUGGGACUGAGACACGGCCCAGACUCCUACGGGAGGCAGCAGUGGGGAAUAUUGGACAAUGGGGG
RNAcentral lists this ribosomal RNA (347 nucleotides) under Acinetobacter sp. oral taxon C99. RNAcentral's name for it is "bacterial SSU rRNA". It matches the Rfam family "Bacterial small subunit ribosomal RNA", at positions 30 to 377 of the family's 1533-position model. Lineage: Bacteria; Pseudomonadati; Pseudomonadota; Gammaproteobacteria; Moraxellales; Moraxellaceae. The record is from RNAcentral.